CGGGUGGCAGCAGUGGGGAAUUUUGCGCAAUGGACGAAAGUCUGACGCAGCAACGCCGCGUGGGUGAUGAAGGUCUUCGGACUGUAAAACCCUGUCGUCAGGGACGAAGGUUUGGGGGUUAAUAACCCUUAAGCUUGACGGUACCUGGAGAGGAAGCCCCGGCUAACUCUGUGCCAGCAGCCGCGGUAAUACAGAGGGGGCAAGCGUUAUUCGGAAUUAUUGGGCGUAAAGGGCGCGUAGGCGGUUUUUUAAGUCAGAUGUGUAAUCCCCGAGCUCAACUUGGGAACUGCAUCUGAGACUGGAAGGCUAGAGUACUGGAGAGGGUGGUGGAAUUCCUCGUGUAGCGGUGAAAUGCGUAGAGAUGAGGAGGAACACCAGUGGCGAAGGCGGCCACCUGGACAGUAACUGACGCUGAGGCGCGAAAGUGUGGGUAGCAAACAGGAUUAGAUACCCCAGU
Molecule: ribosomal RNA, 457 nt
Filed under: uncultured Geothrix sp.
Lineage: Bacteria; Pseudomonadati; Acidobacteriota; Holophagae; Holophagales; Holophagaceae
Description: bacterial SSU rRNA
Rfam family: Bacterial small subunit ribosomal RNA
Source: RNAcentral